AAGAAAGCGUAAUAGCUCACUGGUCGAGUCGGCCUGCGCGGAAGAUGUAACGGGGCUAAACCAUGCACCGAAGCUGCGGCAGCGACACUGUGUGUUGUUGGGUAGGGGAGCGUUCUGUAAGCCUGUGAAGGUGGCCUGUGAGGGUUGCUGGAGGUAUCAGAAGUGCGAAUGCUGACAUAAGUAACGAUAAAGCGGGUGAAAAGCCCGCUCGCCGGAAGACCAAGGGUUCCUGUCCAACGUUAAUCGGGGCAGGGUGAGUCGACCCCUAAGGCGAGGCCGAAAGGCGUAGUCGAUGGGAAACGGGUUAAUAUUCCCGUACUUGGUGUUACUGCGAAGGGGGGACGGAGAAGGCUAUGUUGGCCGGGCGACGGUUGUCCCGGUUUAAGCGUGUAGGUGUGUGUUCCAGGUAAAUCCGGUUCACUUUAACACUGAGGCGUGACGACGAGGCACUACGGUGCUGAAGCAACAAAUGCCCUGCUUCCAGGAAAAGCCUCUAAGCAUCAGGUAACAUCAAAUCGUACCCCA
RNAcentral lists this ribosomal RNA (525 nucleotides) under Salmonella enterica. RNAcentral's name for it is "bacterial LSU rRNA". It matches the Rfam family "Bacterial large subunit ribosomal RNA", at positions 1126 to 1651 of the family's 2925-position model. The record is from RNAcentral. Lineage: Bacteria; Pseudomonadati; Pseudomonadota; Gammaproteobacteria; Enterobacterales; Enterobacteriaceae.